AGCAUCCUACGGGAGGCAGCAGUGGGGUAAUAUUGCACUAAUGGGCGCAAGCCUGAUGCAGCCAUGCCGCGUGUAUGAAGAAGGCCUUCGGGUUGUAAAGUACUUUCAGCAGUGAGGAAGGUGGAUAUGUUAACUAGCAUAUUCAUUUGACGUUAGCUGCAGAAGAAGCACCGGCUAACUCCGUGCCAGCAGCCGCGGUAAUACGGAGGGUGCGAGCGUUAAUCGGAAUUACUGGGCGUAAAGCGCAUGCAGGUGGUUUGUUAAGUCAGAUGUGAAAGCCCGGGGCUCAACCUCGGAAUUGCAUUUGAAACUGGCAAACUAGAGUACUGUAGAGGGGGUAGAAUUUCAGGUGUAGCGGUGAAAUGCGUAGAGAUCUGAAGGAAUACCGGUGGCGAAGGCGGCCCCCUGGACAGAUACUGACACUCAGAUGCGAAAGCGUGGGGAGCAAACAGGAUUAGAUACCCUGGUAG
This 470-nucleotide ribosomal RNA is filed under the name uncultured bacterium. Its description in RNAcentral is "bacterial SSU rRNA". It matches the Rfam family "Bacterial small subunit ribosomal RNA", at positions 333 to 793 of the family's 1533-position model. The record is from RNAcentral.